UUAUGCAUUUUAUUUUUUGAUAAACCUUUUUCUGUACUAACACAAAGCGUACAGGUACAACCAAAGGAGUCAUAGUGCAUCAGGUUAAAAAAAAGAAAACUUUUGCUUUAAAUUGAACAAUUCAGGUGCUGUUUUUAAAGGUCCUUUCAAGUAAACAAAUGCUGUGAUUCUAAUUUAUUACAGUCUUAAACAAACACAUUAAAAUACGUAUUGAACUACUGUUYAGAAAUCAGUGCAUUAAAUCAAGGAUAAAGCAAAUAAUUUACUGACCUGCACUUCAUAGCYGUUUUAUUGGAAUUUGUGUAAAGAAAUUGGUCAUCUUACAGAUUCCAUCAUUUAGAAUUAAACAACACCCGUUAGAAGAAACAGAAGUAUUUUUACAAAACAAAGAU
This is a long non-coding RNA of Austrofundulus limnaeus, 392 nucleotides long. RefSeq lists it as uncharacterized. The record is from RefSeq and is a predicted model, not a curated record. The transcript is spliced from 2 exons. NCBI's taxonomy places the organism in Eukaryota, Metazoa, Chordata, Actinopteri, Cyprinodontiformes, Rivulidae.